GUCGGAAUAGCUCAGUUGGGAGAGCGUUAGACGAAAGAUCUAAAGGCCCACGGUUCAAUCCCGGGUUCCGGCC
This is a non-coding RNA of Dreissena polymorpha, 73 nucleotides long. The record is from the annotation of a RefSeq genome assembly. NCBI's taxonomy places the organism in Eukaryota, Metazoa, Mollusca, Bivalvia, Myida, Dreissenidae.